GAUGAACGCUGGCGGCGUGCUUAACACAUGCAAGUCGAACGAAGCUGUUAGAAGGAAGCCUUCGGGUGAAAUUUUAACAGACUUAGUGGCGGACGGGUGAGUAACGCGUGGAUAACCUGCCUUAUACAGGGGGAUAACGGAGAGAAAUUUCCGCUAACACCGCAUAAGACCACAGCACCGCAUGGUGCAGGGGUAAAAUAUUUAUAGGUAUAAGAUGGAUCCGCGUCCGAUUAGCAGUUGGUGAGGUAAAGGCCCACCAAGGCGACGAUCGGUAGCCGGCCUGAGAGGGUGAACGGCCACAUUGGGACUGAGACACGGCCCAAACUCCUACGGGAGGCAGCAGUGGGGAAUAUUGGACAAUGGGGGAAACCCUGAUCCAGCGACGCCGCGUGAGUGAAGAAGUAUUUCGGUAUGUAAAGCUCUAUCAGCAGGGAAGAAAAUGACGGUACCUGACUAAGAAGCCCCGGCUAACUACGUGCCAGCAGCCGCCGUAAC
Molecule: ribosomal RNA, 495 nt
Filed under: uncultured bacterium
Lineage: Bacteria
Description: bacterial SSU rRNA
Rfam family: Bacterial small subunit ribosomal RNA
Source: RNAcentral